Molecule: ribosomal RNA, 305 nt
Filed under: uncultured bacterium
Lineage: Bacteria
Description: bacterial SSU rRNA
Rfam family: Bacterial small subunit ribosomal RNA
Source: RNAcentral
CCUACGGGGGGCAGCAGUGGGGAAUAUUGCACAAUGGGGGAAACCCUGAUGCAGCGACGCCGCGUGAGGGAAGAAGGUUUUCGGAUUGUAAACCUCUGCCUUUGGUGACGAAAGAUGACGGUAGCCAAAGAGGAAGCUACGGCUAACUACGUGCCAGCAGCCGCGGUAAUACGUAGGUGGCAAGCGUUGUCCGGAAUUACUGGGUGUAAAGGGAGCGUAGGCGGGCAGACAAGUUGAAUGUUUAAACUAUCGGCUCAACCGAUAAUCGCGUUCAAAACUGUUUUUCUUGAGUGAAGUAGAGGCAG